GGAAUAUUGGACAAUGGGGGCAACCCUGAUCCAGCAAUGCCGCGUGAGUGAUGAAGGCCUUAGGGUUGUAAAGCUCUUUUGCCAGGGAAGAUGAUGACGGUACCUGGAGAAUAAGCCCCGGCUAACUUCGUGCCAGCAGCCGCGGUAAUACGAAGGGGGCUAGCGUUGUUCGGAAUUACUGGGCGUAAAGGGCGCGUAGGCGGCCGAUUAAGUUAGGCGUGAAAGUCCUGGGCUCAACCUGGGGACUGCACUUAAUACUGAUUGGCUUGAAUUCGGGAGAGGAUAGCGGAAUUCCCAGUGUAGAGGUGAAAUUCGUAGAUAUUGGGAAGAACACCGGUGGCGAAGGCGGCUAUCUGGACCGACAUUGACGCUGAGGCGCGAAAGCGUGGGGAGCAAACAGG
RNAcentral lists this ribosomal RNA (401 nucleotides) under uncultured bacterium. RNAcentral describes it as "bacterial SSU rRNA". It matches the Rfam family "Bacterial small subunit ribosomal RNA", at positions 358 to 776 of the family's 1533-position model. The record is from RNAcentral.